Molecule: small nuclear RNA, 107 nt
Organism: Suricata suricatta (meerkat)
Lineage: Eukaryota; Metazoa; Chordata; Mammalia; Carnivora; Herpestidae
Source: Ensembl
GUGCUUGUUUCGGCAGCACGUAUACUAAAAUUGGAACAAUCCAGAAAAGAUUAGCCUGGUCCCUGCACAAGGAUGACAUGCAAAUUCCUGAAGCUUCCAUAUUUUGC